AUGGCAGGCUGUCGUGCAUCAACGGCGAGAAGCAGUUACCGAAUGAGGUCGGCGGUGAGGCCCAAGGCGGGGCUGGGACAUGGGCGCGGAGCUUCUCGCACGACGCCCGUUCAUGGGGUUGGGAUGAAUUCAUCAAGGUUGAAGACCUGGACGACGAGAAGCACCUCAGGGACGGCUGCCUGUGCAUGCUUUGCGACCUCACCGUCUUCGACGUGUGCACCAACGACUACUUUGCGCCCCAUGGAGACCACGGCCAACCAGCAGCCGAGUCGCUGGAAAGGCUCAAGCUUAUACAGGGGGUAG
RNAcentral lists this ribosomal RNA (303 nucleotides) under Triticum aestivum (bread wheat). RNAcentral describes it as "partial small subunit ribosomal RNA". The record is from RNAcentral. Lineage: Eukaryota; Viridiplantae; Streptophyta; Magnoliopsida; Poales; Poaceae.